Podarcis lilfordi (Lilford's wall lizard) is the source of this 77-nucleotide non-coding RNA. The record is from the annotation of a GenBank genome assembly. NCBI's taxonomy places the organism in Eukaryota, Metazoa, Chordata, Lepidosauria, Squamata, Lacertidae.
UUACAAAUUAGCUCAGCCAGUAGAGCAUGAGACUCUUAAGCUCAGGGUCGUGUGUUCGAAAUCCACGUUGGGCAAAA